Molecule: long non-coding RNA, 12632 nt
Filed under: Homo sapiens (human)
Lineage: Eukaryota; Metazoa; Chordata; Mammalia; Primates; Hominidae
Description: HSALNT0304308
Source: RNAcentral
AUGCGCGGAGGCCGCCUGCUAGCAAGGAGGGGGCUGUAUGUGGAAUUGCAAGGCCAAAGACAUCUCGGGUCAACUCUUCUCAGGACCAGAUCCAAGUCGCCAGUGAGAACACACAUUCAGGCAGCCUCCACCAGCGCCCUGCCUCAGGAGCGAGGCUCCCUGCUUCAUGUGGGCAAGAGCUGCCCUUGUUUUCCCAGCGGGCAGUUGGGGGUCUGGAGCCUAGGAAGCAAAGUGAAGCACACACUCCUGCUUCCUUCCUUCCCUGCAGUUGAGACGGGAGUCUUACUUUGUUGCCCAGGCUGGUCUCAAACUCCUGGCUUCAAGCAAUCCUUCCACUUUGGCCUUCCAAAGUGCUGGGAUUACAGGCAUGAGCCACCAUGCCCAGCCUCCUUCUCUUACUAGCUGAGAACUAAGAGAAGACACUCUGGAGACAGAGGAGGAAACAGUGACGAUGCCACAUGAUGAAUACAUAAUGGAGGGUGAAGACAAGGCUCCGUCAGGGGCACCAAGGAGGGAAACCCAGUUCUGUGGGGAAGGUAUGGGGCAGCUUCACAAGCCCAGUGUCUGCUCCCUUUGUGGGAGACGUGUUGUUUCAGCAUCCAUUCCCCCUUCUUUUAGGAAAAGUGCUUGAAUUUCCUUUUCAUGGAACCACCCACCUCCCUCUCAUCCAUGCAUUCUAUUCCCAGUAUCAGGGGUAGACAAGUGACUUCAGGCUUGGCCAAUUAGGGUUCUGACUCUUGGUCAAAUCAGAGUGAAUCCUGAGUCAUUUGUAAACUCCAAGGAAAGGGCUUGCUUUGUUUUCUGUUGAAUGCAGUGCUCUGAGAUAGCCGGAAAUGAAACUGCUCUCUUGCCACACUGAAGGCUAGAGAAGGGCCUGGCCAGGAAAUGAUGCCAGUGAUCAGGGGUGGAGCUGGAAGAGGGGGAGUGAGGAGGCCCAGACAUCUUGGGAGCCCCAAAUUCACCUCAGGAUUUAACUUCUCCGCUGCUCAGCCAAUAAAUUCCUUUCUUCCAUGACUAAUUUGAGUUGAGUUUUUAGUUUUUGCAACUAAAACAGCACUGACUAAUACACCCUUAGGUAAGAUUAGAGCAAGAAUUUCCAAUAUCUGUGUUCUUCAUCCUGAAAUUUGGUGAGGAUAUCUAAGGUUCUUUUGUCUUUUAAAAGAAUUCUGUUGCAAUGGAAAGUAUCAAUCCAUAUUUUUCCAUUUCUCCAAAAUGUUUUAGUGUAUAUCUAUGGGGCACAAACUUAAUCUCUGUAGGCCCUCUGCCAUAGUUGCUCUGUGCCACUUGAUAAGGGGCUGGUAUCUAGAAUAUAUAAAAACUCUUAAAACUCAGCCGGGCAUGGUGGCUCAUGCCUAUAAUCCCAGCUCUUUGGGAGGCCGAGGCAGGCGGAUCACCUGAGGUCAGGAGUUUGAGACCAGCCUGGCCAACACGGUGAAACUCUAUCUCUCUAAAAAUACAAAAAUUAGGCGGGCGUAGUGGCUCACUCAAGACUGAGGCAGAAGAACCACUUGAACCCAGGAGUUGGAGGUUUCAGUGAGCCCAGAUGGCUCCACGGCACUCCAUCCUGUGCAACAGAGUGGCACAGGAUGGCAAAAACAAACAAAAGCUCUUAAAACUCAACAAUAAAAGACAACCCACUUUAGAAAUGAGAAAAGGGCCAAGUGUGGUGGUAAUCCCAGCACUUUGGGAAGUUGAGGUGUGUAGAUUGCUUGAGCCCAGGAGUUUGAGAGCAGCCUGGGCAACAUGGCAAAACCACAUCUCUACAAAAUACAGAAAAGAAAAAAAAAAAAUCAGUCAGGUGUGGUGUUGCACACCUGUAGUCCCAGCAACCUGGAGGCUGAAGUGUGAGGAUUGCUUAAACCUAAGGAGAUAGAGGCUGCAAUGAGCUGCGAUUGUGCCACUGCACUCUACCUUGGGCAACAGAUGAAGACGCUGUCUCAAAAAAUAAGAAUAAAGAAAGAAAGAUGGGAAAAGAAUUUAUUUCUUUCCUUUUUUUUUUUUUUAGACAAGGUCUGGCUGGUCCCCCAGGCUGGAGUGCAGUGGUGCAAUCUUGGCUCACUGCAACCUCUGCCUCCCAGGUUCAAGUGAUUCUCCUGCCUCAACUUCCCGAGUAGCUGGUACUACAGGAGCAAGCCACCACACCCAGCUAAUUUUUGUAUUUUUAGUAGAGCCGGAGUUUCACCAUGUCGGCUAGGCUGGUCUCGAACUCCUGACCUCAAGUGAUCUGCCCACCUCGGCCUCCGAAAGUGCUGGGAUUACAGGUGUGAGCCACUGAACCUGGCCUUUUUUUGCUGCUGUUGUUGUUCGUUUUGUUUUGUUUUUGUUUUUGUUUUGAGAUGGAGUCUCGCUCUGUCACCCAGCCUGGAGGGCAGUGGCUCAAUUUUGGCUCACUGCCACUUCUGCCUCCUGGGUUCCAGUGAUCCUCCUGCCUCAGCCUGCUGAGUAGCUGAGACUACAGCCGAGACACCACCAUGCCUGGCUAAUUUUUUUUUUUUAAGUAGAGAUGGGGUUUCAGCAUUUUGGCCAGGCUGAUCGUGAACUCCUGACCUCAAGUGAUCUGCCCACUGCACCUGGCCUUUUUUUCUUUUUUUUUUAAUAGAGAUGAGUACAAUGGACUUUAGGGACUCAGGGUAAAGGGUGGGAAGGGGGUGAAGGAUAAAAGACUACACAUUGGGUACAGUGUGCACUGCAUAGGUGGUAGGUGCACCAAAAUCUCAGAAAUCACCACUAAACGACCUAUUCCUAUAACCAAACACCACCUGUUCCCCAAAAACCUAUUGGAAAAAAAAAAACUCACGUAAGUAAAUAAAUAGAGGCCAGGAGCAGUGGCUCACACCUGUAAUCCCAGCACUUUGGGAGGCCGAAGUGGGCAGAUCACCUGAGGUUGGGAGUUUGAGACCAGCCUGGCCAACAUGGAGAAAUCCUGUCUCUACUAAUAAUACAAAAAUUAGGUGGGCAUGGUGGCACAUGCCUGUAAUCCCAGCUACUUGGGAGGCUGAGGCAGGAGAAUCACUUGAACCUGGGAGAUGGAGGUUGCAGUGAGCAAAGAUCACCCCAUUGCACUCCAGCCUGGGUGACGAGCGAAACUCCAUCAAAAGAAGAAAAAAAAGAAAGGAAAGAAAGAUGCGGUCUGGUGGUGCUGCCCAGGCUGGAGUGCAGUGGCUAUUCAUAGGUAUGAUCAUAGUGCACUGCAGCCUCAAGACUCUUGGGUUCCAGUGGUCCUCCUGCCUCAGCCUCCUGUGUAGCUGGUACUACAGGCUACAGCUAAACUGCUCAGUUCCUCAGUCCUUCUUCAUCUCCCACAGUGGAUACAGAGCGUGGCAGCCCCCUCUCAGGAAGUCAUGGAUCUUUAUGGCUGGCAGGACUGUAAAGUCACCCAGUUCAGCCCCUCAUUUACAUAUAAGGAAACAGUCCUAUAGAGAAGGCGUGCCUUUUUAAGUCACACAUUUGAGCAAAUAAAUAAUUAUCUCCUCACACAUUUAAGAUUGCUAUUACAUCCUUUUCUCUAGAACUUUUAACCUUUCAUCCACUCAGAAUGCUUGCCUGGACCCUCUCCAAUUUCUCAAUAUCUUUCUUUUUUUUUUUUUUUUUUUUUUUUUUUUGGAGACGGAGGCUUGCUCCGUCACCUAGACUGGAGUGCAGUGGCAUGAUCUUGGCUCACUGCAACCUCUGCCUCCCAGGUUCAAGUAAUUCUCCUGCCUCAGCCUCUCAAGUAGCUGGGAUUACAGGCGCCCACCACCACGCCCGGCUAAUUUUUGUAUUUUUAAUGGAGACGGGGUUUCACCUUGUUGGCCAGGCUGGUCUCAAACUCCUGACCUCAAGUGAUCCACCCACCUCAGCUUCCCAAAGUGCUGGAAUUACAGGCGUGAGCCCUCGCGCCCAGUUCAACAUCUUUCUUAAGUGGGCCCAAGGUUGGGGGGAAAAUCUCACCGUAGAGAUAUUUGUUAGAUAUCGAGCAUGUGCUGAAGAAGGCAUCUGUGAUGAUUAAUUUUAUGUGUCAGUUGGACUGGACCAUGGGGUGCCCAGAUAUCAGCUUGAACAUUACUCUGGGUCCAUCUGUGAGGGCGUGGGGUAGGACUGGCAUUUAUGUUGGUGGAGCAAGUAAAGCAGGCUGCCUCCCUAACGCAGGGGAUCCUCAUCCAUCAGCUGAGGGCCCAAAUAGAACAAAAGGCUGAGUUGGAGGGCGCCCCUCCUGCAUGACCAACUUUCAAGUGGUGACAUCAGCUUUCUUCCUGUUUUUGGACUUGAACUGAAACAUCAGCUCUUCCUGGAUCUUCAGCCUGCUGGCCUUCAGACUAGAACUACAACCUCGGCUCUCCUGGGUCUCGGCUUGCUGACUCACCCUGCAGAACUUGGGACUUGUCAGCCUCUACAUUUGUAUGAGCCAAUUCCUUAUAAUGUCUUUCUGUAUAUAUACAUAUAUCUCCACAUCUUAUUGUUCUGCUUCUCUGGAGAACCCUGAGUAAUACAGCAUCAUUCCAAGAUCAGCAGAAAUGUUAGUGCUUCUGGGGAAUUACUGCAAAGGGUACCUGAAUAGCAGCACAUGCUCUCAGUACCCCCGCCUUCUGUUGUCUGCUGUUGCCUGCUCCCUCCCCACCCUUUGGGUUGAUUUCAGGAUAGAGAUAUGGGGAUGGGACUGGGGUUGGGUGUGCGGUUACCCAGAACAGCCAGGAUGUGUGCACGCUGUGACCCAGGAGCAUCAAGCACUGCUCAAGCUGCUUGGAAAAGAAAACAAAAGUCAGGAAAGUGAGGAGCUGGGAGGGUGCUGGAAAGGAGCAGGAAGAAACGGGCAAGGGUAGGAGAGAAGCAGAAAAAACAAUCCCUGAGACAGAGCUGGUGUAACCAAGGCUCUGUUUCCCCCACGGUUUGAGAGUGGGUGAGCCUGACUUCAAGGCCCAGCUCUGUUCAAAGAUAGGACACUGAUUUUCUUCAAGAAGGCAGAGCUGGUGAGUGGCCUCAUGUCUUACCAUCAUGGAAAGGCGAGGGCUGGGGGAGAGAGAAGGGGCAGCCAAGGCCUCAGAGUGGUGUAGGCCUCACCCUUGUGCUCACAUGUCCCAACCACUGCCAGCGGUGCCACCUCUGAAUCCCAGACCCCACAUGUAACCAUCCUCUACCUGGACCACAGGAGGAAGCUCCACGUUCUUUGCCAGGGUUCAGGGUAAGGGGCAUGAUCUAAGUUGGGCAAAAGAGAGUCAUCCUGUUACCUUAAAAAGGAGUCUAGGGUGAGCCCCAGUCUGCUGGUGGCCAUCUUCACCACCUUUGGGGAGAGAUGGCCUGAGCAGACACACAAAGCAAAGAGGUGGAGAGAAACUGUGUCUUUGUGUCAUUGUUUGAGUCCCUGGACCCAGCCCAGUCCCCCCGACUACGCUGAACUUUUCAAUUGUGGAAAACAAUAAAUUCCAUUUAGUUAAGAAAUUUUCAGUUCUGGGUCUUGCAGCUGUGAGCAUUCUGACAACCUUGAUGUUCCAGGCCCUCCUGGGCUAGGUCCAUGAGCUAAUUGCUUGCCCUGCACCUCCAGUGGGAAGGAGCUGCUCACAUCAACUCAGUGUUCCCCAAAGCCACGCCCUUCCUUUCCUGCUUUCACACCACUGCCUACACCAUGCUCUCAUGAAGGCCUGCCCCUUCUCCAAGGCCCAGAUCAAGUCUCUUCUUUAGGAAGUGUUCCUUGGCUAUCACGUUUCGGUGUCAUCAGGUUUCCUCUUUCCUGGUGGCUGGAUUGGAAGGCCUUAGAGGGCAAGGAUCAUAUGUGUUAGAAUUUCUGCAUCCUCCACAAGGCACUUGUGUUCAGUGUAUUUGCUGAAUGAAUGUCACAUUAAAAAGCGUGACCCAGCCGGGUGUGGUGGCUCAUGCCUGUAAUCCCAGCUUUUUGGGAGGCCAAGGCAGGCGGAUCACCUGAGGUCAGGAGUUCAAGACCAGCUUGGCAAACAUGGUGAAACCCCAUUCUCUACUAAAAAAUACAAAAAUUAGCCAGGCAUGGUGGUGUGCGCCUGUAAUUCCAGCUACUCAGGAGGCUGAGGCAGGGGAAUUGCUUGAACCCAGAGGUGGAGAUUGCAGUGAGCCAAGAUCGCACCACUGCACUCCAGCACUCCAGAGCGCACUCUUGUCCACUCGCAACAGAGUGAGACUCCACCUUAAAAAAAAAUAAAAACAACAACACGACUCCUGGCCUAAUGGACUGAUAAGGUAAACAAGAAGAAAGACACAGGCCUGUACACAUAAUAGAAAUUGGGUGUGUACCAGCCUGGGCAACAUGGCAAGGCUCUGUCUCUGCAAAAAAUAAAUUAGCCAGAGGUAGUGGCUCACACCUGCAGUCCCAGCCACUCAGGUGGCUAAGGUGGGAGGAUCACUUGAGCCUGGGAGGUUGAGGCUGCAGUGAGCCAUGAUUGCAGCACUACACUCCAGCCUCCAGACAGAGCAAGAUCCUGUCAAAGAAAAGAAAGAAAAAAGAAAAGAAAAGGAAGGAAGGGAGGGAAAGAAAGGAAAGAAAGAGAAAGAGAAAGAAAAAGAGAAAAAAAGGAAAGAAAUUGCAUGUGUGUACAUGCAAGCAAAUUUCCCAUACCCCGUUAGAAUAUGAGGAAGCAAACAGAUGGAAAGAAUCAAUAACGGGGCAGGGCGCAGUGGCUCACCCCUGUAACCCCAGCACUUUGGGAGGCCAAGACGGGCGGAUCACCUGAGGUCAGGAGUUUGAGACCAGCCUGGCCAACAUGGCAAAACCCCAUCUCUACUAAAAAUAUAAAAAUUAGCUAGGCAUGGUGGUGCAUGCCUGUAAUCCUAACUACUUGGGAGGCUGAGGUUGGAGAAUUGUUUGAAUCGGGGAGGUGGAGGUUGCAGUGAGCCGAGAUCUUGCCACUGCACUCCAGCCUGAGCAACAAAGUGAGACUCCGUCUCAAAAAAUAAAUAAGAAAAAAUGAAUGAGACAUUCUUCUUUUAUUAAAAUAAAACCCAUCCACCACCCCAAGGUUAUUCCAGAAGGAAACUCUCCACCAAUAGUGGUGGCACUAGACAUAUACUGAGAGACCCCCAAGAGGGAAGUGAAGCCAUGGGGGCAUCUGGGGCUACAUGGUCUAUCUCGCUACACAAGGAGGCCCUUUACAAGGCUAGCUGCCAUUUUCUACCAAGACAGAAGGACAGGAACCUUCCAAACAGGGCAGCCUGCAGGCCCUGCACCUUCAGGCCCCAUUCUCAGACACCUGUACAACCCCUUAAGCCAGACGGACUCACAGCUGUCUCUGGAAAGUUCUUCGUUACCUGACUCUUUAGACACAGGGUUGGCUGGAGGGGCCUCUCCCUCAUCUUGUACAUCUUAUGAAGCCCCUUACCACCCACUGUGUUGCUGUCCCACUCAGCUGAAGGGGCUGGCCAGUCCCGCAUAAACCCUCCAGCUCUGAGAUCAGCCAAUCUUCCCUGGGCACUGCUCUCUCCCCCAGCAAAAAAGCCAAGAAUUUUCCCCAAAGCUUAUGGUGAGGAACCUGUGUGUGUGUGUGUGGUGUGUGUGUGUGUGUGUGUGUGUGUUUGAGAUGGAGUCUCACUCUGUCAGGCUGGAGUCCAGUGGCAUGAUCUCGGCUCACUGCAACCUCUGCCUCCCGGGUUCAAGUGAUUCUCCUGCCUCAGCCUCCCGAGUAGCUGGGACUACAGGCACCUGCCACCAUGCCUGGUUAAUUUUUGUAUUUUUAGUAGAGACGGGGUUUCACCAUGUUGGCCAGAAUGGUCUCGAUCUCCUGACCUUGUGAUCCACCCACCUCGGCCUCCCAAAGUGCUGGGAUAAUAGGCGUGAGCCACCGCACCCGGCCAGAACUGAUCUUAAUUCUCAAACCAGUAACCCUAAUGAAGCGUCUUCGUUUCAGGUGGGCUCAUUCAAAACGACAUUUUCAGGCUUGGUGCAGUGGCUCAAGCCUGUAAUCCCAACCCUUUGGGAAGGGAGGCAGAAGGAUUGCCUGAAGCCAGUAGUUUGAGACCAGCCUGGGCAACAUGGUGAGACUGUCUCUACCCACCCCCACAAAAAAAACAUUUUCUCUUCUCCACAAACCUCCUGCCUCCCAUUAAAAUGUCACUCCCCCCAAAAAAUGCAGAGGAAGAGGUAAGAUUGCAGGCUAUUUGAAAACAGGGGCAUGAAGUUUGUCAGUUCCCUUCUGUCUCCCCAUAGCAUCUGUGUUCCAUUAGUGUAGUGGCUGAGAGCGUGGAUAUUUCAGGCAAGAUGCCAGCUGAAGAUUCUCUAGUCAUCUUGGGAAAGCCGCCCUGCCCCAGAUGCACCACCUCUUCCUGUGUCCCAGGGUCCUCUCCUUGCGGCCCUUCACAUCCCAUGGCUUCUCGUGUGCGGGCCCCUCUUCGCCUGUGCAGUUGAUGCCACCUUCCAGCUGCCACGUGACAGGUGGGCAGAGACUGGGGCUCCCGCAUUCCCAACUCCAGCACCUGGCUGAGACACUGGGCCCUGGGAUUGACUGUGACCGCCCUCUUCCCCUUUGGCAGGUCCUGUCUCCCACUUUCAACACCCUCACUUAAGGCCAGGCAGAACCCUUCCUACUGUCACCAGUCAUUAAAAUAAGGUUGCAUCCCUCCCUUCCCUUCUGAAAAUCCUUCCUGGGCUCCUUCUGCUGUUAGUGCCUUAAAUGAGCACCCCUCACCUUUCUAACCUCGGCUCUUACCACCUCCUGGCCACCAGUGUGCUUUUGCUCUUGCCAUUCUCUCAGCAGGAGUGUCCCUAUCCCAGUUCACUCCCACAUCAAGUGUGGCUCAAGCUGCGUCCUCCAGGAAGCCUUUCAUUAUCACUCAGGUCAGAACUGGCUCCCUUCUGGGCACAGGACUUUUCCGAGCCGGCCGCCCACUUCACUCUGCCUUUCUGUGGACAAGUCCAUCUCCUGAACUAAGGACAUAAAAUCCUUGCAGACAGGGUCCUGUCCGUCACUGUAUAUUUCAUGGUGCCUAAUGGUGCUUUGUCUGAAUGGACAUGAAAUGAGAACACACUCCCAGCUUCCAAGAAAGAUGUGUAUUCUCCCUAACAACAACAAAAGAGACCUAAAUGGGCUGCUCCCUGAAGAGAGCCCUCAGCUCUUUUACCGUGAUGCACACUCGGGGCUGGGUGUAGGCUGUGUGAUCAAAUGUAUGAAGGAAGAAGGAACGGAGAGAACGUGGGCAAUCAAGGCCUGGCACUGCCCUACAGGAGGCUUACAGGUCACACUCCCAGAACUGUCUCUAUCCCCAUGCCUCUCCUAGUAAGAUUCAUUACCUAUGGUUUCAAAGAAAGUGCAGUUUCUAGGGAGUGAAGGAACACGUGAAAUACAGAAAAUAAAGACAGAAAAACACACAAAUUAUUAAAUAAAAUUUAAACAAUAGAGGGAAAAAAAGUGUAGUUUGUUCUGCAAGCCACAGCCCAAAGAAGUCUAUUUCCUCCCACAGGAUGGCUAGAGUUUAGGAGCCACGUUCUCCUCUAUAGCUCACCAGAGGAUGCAGCCUGAAGAGCUCAGGGUUUGAAGGUUGGGCCUUGGGCGGGAGUCAGCUACUAUUUCUAGCUGUUCUAGAAAGACCUAGAAACUUCCUGUGUGAAAACAGGAUUAGGAAGCUCUGGGGGUGAAAAUGCCAUGCACGGAGCUGGCCCAUGCCAAGUCCCUUCUAACUAUUUUAAAUUACAUCUUUGGCCAGGCACGGUGGUUCAUGCCUAUAAUCCCAGCACUUUGGGAGGCCAAGGUGGGUGGAUAACCUGAGGUUAGGAGUUCCAGACCAGCCUGGCCAACAUGGUGAAACCCUGUCUCUACUAAAAAUACAAAAAAAUUAUCUGGGCAUAGUGGCGCAUGCCUGUAAUCCCAGCUACUCAGGAGGCUGAGGCAGGAUAAUCGCUUGAACCCAGGAGGCAGAGGUUGCAGUGAGCUGAGAUCAUGCCACGUUACACUCCAGCCCGGGUGACAGAGCGAGACUCUUGUCUCAAAAACAAGAAAAAGAAAAAAAAAUACAGCCUCAUCAACAUCUCCUGCUUCUCUGAGACAAAGGGAACAAACCAAAUCAGGAAAAUCGUGACAGAAAAAUGACAGGCAGCCAUUGUCAUUUCCAUUCUUAUUCGUGGUUUCUGGUUUUUUUGGUUUUGUUUUCCCUUUUAAUUUUUUUCUAGAAAAAAAAACACAACCCGGGGAAUUUAUAUGACAAACUAUCAGUGUCAGGAUGGCAGAGGGAAAGAGAAAGAAGAGGAAGGCCAAAGACAUGGGGAGUGAAUAAAAAGUGGGUUCCGGAUCGUGCGGAACAGUCCACAGGGUCAUUUACAGGUCCUCAGGAGAUGACCAGUCCCUUUGGCAUGCAGGUCCAGUGCCUGGUCUUCUGGUCUGCCUGCUCAGACACCCAAGGGCAGAGAGAGCUGGCCACAAGUAAACCUGCCAAUGACAAACUCAGGACUUAACAGAAAGACUUAGUUCAGUUCCUUGGCUUUGUGCUCAGGCAUCACAUAGCAGGCAGCCUGCAGCCUUUCUUGCCUGAGAGAAGAGUCCAGAAGAGCAGGAGAGUCACCUUUGAACACACUCUGGCAUCACAGCAGUGAACUGCAAGCAGCCACUGGCUCGUGUGCAGAUGUGGCCCUCACCACCCAUGCAGGCAUCUGUCCGGACAUCCCCAGUCAAUCUGGCCAAAGGAUGGGACAUGACAGUCCCUUUCUAGCCACAGCUUCAUAGUGUUGUCCAUUCUCCAGUCUUGCUCAAACUAUCUAUCACCUUAAAGGUUGGAAGAGAUUGGAAUCCAUUUCCUUUUCAGCUCAGCAGGGGACACUGAUUCCCAAGAAGCAAGUAACUUAACAAGGACAGGUUGGCCAUCUGGAUCUACACUGAAGGUCUUUCAAGUUUCAUCCACUUUAUGCCCAGAUCUCAGGGCAGAAAAUUCAGCCAGACCCAGAGCAAACAAGGUGACCAGAGUGAUGGCUGAGCAAGAAAGUCCCAGCAGCACACUGCAAGACCAGAGUACAUUCAAGAGGGGAGAGGGCACGUGGCAAGCUGGAGUCCCGAGUCAGAGUCUAGGGCAGCACUGGGUCUGAAGGACACAGCCCGGCCUGCUGGGCUGACAGUGUGGGUCUGAUGCCUCACAUGAUGUGGCCCCACUGGUUGUAUUCCUAUGUGGAGGGUGGUGGGUUCCUGCCCUGUUGUGGCCCCUGUUCCUAAACUGAGGCCAGGUUCCAUCUCAGUGCUGCAGUCCUGAGGAGCACCACGCUGGCCCGCCAGCCAGGCCACAGUCCUCAGCCCCUCUGGGUUCCACGAGAAGGCCCCAGGGAGUCACCGUCACUGAGAGGGAAGGGGCCAGGGAAGGGAGGCUGCAUUCUACUGGGAGAGACUCGGGGAGGGACUACCAUGGGCUUGGAAGGAGCUACAGCCCCAAAUAUUGCAGAGCCAAAAGGAAUGGGAUACAUGUCUAAAAAGUGACAACAGUCUUGUCCCUAUUUUAAAAACAGAAUAUUGUUGCUGUUGCCUGGUUUCAUUUUUUUCCUUUUAAAACCACUCAUAUUUAAAAGGUGAAGGGCUGGGAGAUGUAGUCCCCUUCACUCUGGUCCUUGAUAGGCACCAGGGGGCCUCAGUCUCACGCUGGCUCCUGCUCUCCUUGCCUGGGCUCCAGCCACAUGAAGCAAGGGCAGAGAGGGUUGCAACUGCUCUGCCUUCCCAACAGCGAUUCCCUCUCCCCAUAAAACCAGGGCACACGUGAGGAGAAGUCCAAAGAGUAAAGUGCACAGAACUCCCCGGAGCAGGUGGCCUGGGGGCGGGUCACUCCGAGAAGGAAGGGGUCUGGGGGGCGUCAGCCCAGAGCUACAGCUGUGGAGCAAACACUGAUCCCUGUGAAGUGAGCCUCCAGGGCACAGUCCCCUUUCCCUUGGGCCCUUUGACACUUGUUUUUGGGACUGUCCGCUCUCAGCAGCUCUCCAAGGAAAGUCUCGGUCCCAAAGAUAUCGCCCAUGCUGGAGGAAACUUGGAUGACCUUCCCUGGCUGGUAAUGACUCGUGAAUGUGAAGGGGGCAGGAUGUGGCAGGAGGGAAAGAGUACAUUAUAGAAAACCAGUGGACCUCCGGUUCUGAGAGCAGGGAUACUUGGAUGACCCUAAAGGCAGAGUCUCUCCUGGGGAAGGUUUGGAGAAGAUGGUCAGGAUCCUACCAGUGAGGCCUGCUGGGGAAAGGAGCUCCUCUGGGUGCGAGAGGAGCUGCAGAGUUGAGGGAGGGGCUGCCGAGGAAGAGAGCCCAGGGCUGGCAUUAGGGUGUGUAAGCAGGGGGUGGCUGGAACUGGUUGAUGACCUCAUAUUCCGCCGGGUAGGGCUCGUUCUCUUCCAUCUCUGAGAGCAGCUCCAGCGCCUGCUCCUCUUCCUCUGUGGGGUAGUGGCGCAGGAGGUUGGCUGCCGUGGCCAGGAUUGAGGCUCCACCAGCUCCUGCCACCAGGUAGAAGCUAACGGCGAAGGUGACAUAGACCUGGGAUCCAUGGUACUUCUUAUGCUGCUGCUGCUGGGCCAAGAUGAGUUCAGAAGCCCAAUAAGAAAAGCCAAUGACGGUGGCACACUGCAGAACUAGGAGACAGAGGGACAGCACAGAAGGGGAAUUAGUGAGCACUCCACAGCUAGGAUGCUUGAGGACCCAAUCACAGCCUCUCUACCCAAACCCCAUUCUCAGAGAACCUGCCUGGCCCCAG